RNAcentral lists this ribosomal RNA (62 nucleotides) under Boana albopunctata (spotted treefrog). Its description in RNAcentral is "partial 16S ribosomal RNA". Lineage: Eukaryota; Metazoa; Chordata; Amphibia; Anura; Hylidae. The record is from RNAcentral.
AAAUUACUCAUGUUUUCAACUCAAUUAGAAACAAACCUACCAUAAACCUCAAAAAAAGAGAA